This 253-nucleotide ribosomal RNA is filed under the name uncultured bacterium. RNAcentral describes it as "partial 16S ribosomal RNA". It matches the Rfam family "Bacterial small subunit ribosomal RNA", at positions 524 to 776 of the family's 1533-position model. The record is from RNAcentral.
GACGAUCCUCACAAACGUUAUUCGGAAUUACUGGGCUUAAAGGGUGCGUAGGCGGUGCGGAAAGUUGGGUGUGAAAUCCCUCGGCUCAACCGAGGAACUGCGCCCAAAACUACCGCACUCGAGGAAGAUAGAGGUGAGCGGAACUUACGGUGGAGCGGUGAAAUGCGUUGAUAUCGUAAGGAACACCCGUGGCGAAAGCGGCUCACUGGGUCUUUUCUGACGCUGAUGCACGAAAGCUAGGGGAGCAGACGGG